CCUACGGGAGGCAGCAGUGAGGAAUAUUGGUCAAUGGCCGAGAGGCUGAACCAGCCAAGUCGCGUGAGGGAUGACGGCCCUACGGGUUGUAAACUUCUUUUAUCAGGGAGUAAAGAGAGUCACGUGUGCCUCUUUGAAUGUACCUUAUGAAUAAGCAUCGGCUAACUCCGUGCCAGCAGCCGCGGUAAUACGGAGGAUCCGAGCGUUAUCCGGAUUUAUUGGGUUUAAAGGGGGCGUAGAGGGGUGGUGAAGUCAGUUGGGAAAUUUUGGGGCUCAACCGGAGAAUUGCAAUUGAUACUGGAAGUCUUGAGUACAGGUGAGGUAGGCGGAAUGCGUGGUGUAGCGGUGAAAUGCUUAGAUAUCACGAAGAACUCCGAUUGCGAAGGCAGCUUAAUAAACUGCCACUGACACUGAUGCGCGAAAGUGUGGGUAUCAAACAGGAUUAGAUACCCUUGUAGUC
This 460-nucleotide ribosomal RNA is filed under the name uncultured bacterium. RNAcentral's name for it is "partial 16S ribosomal RNA". It matches the Rfam family "Bacterial small subunit ribosomal RNA", at positions 338 to 795 of the family's 1533-position model. The record is from RNAcentral.